GGAGUCUUACAUGCAAGUCGAACGGCAGCGCGGGGCAACCUGGCGGCGAGUGGCGAACGGGUGAGUAAUAUAUCGGAACGUACCCUGGAGUGGGGGAUAACGUAGCGAAAGUUACGCGAGUACCGCAUACGAUCUAAGGAUGAAAGCAGGGGACCGCAAGGCCUUGUGCUCCUGGAGCGGCCGAUAUCUGAUUAGCUAGUUGGUGGGGUAAAGGCCUACCAAGGCAUCGAUCAGUAGCUGGUCUGAGAGGACGACCAGCCACACUGGAACUGAGACACGGUCCAGACUCCUACGGGAGGCAGCAGUGGGGAAUUUUGGACAAUGGGCGCAAGCCUGAUCCAGCAAUGCCGCGUGAGUGAAGAAGGCCUUCGGGUUGUAAAGCUCUUUUGUCAGGGAAGAAACGGGUGGAGCUAAUAUCUCUGGCCUAAAUGACGGUACCUGAAGAAUAAGCACCGGCUAACUACGUGCCAGCAGCCGCGGUAAUACGUAGGGUGCAAGCGUUAAUCGGAAUGGACUGGGCGUAAAGCGUGCGCAGGCGGUUUUGUAAGUCUGUCGUGAAAUCCCCGGGCUCAACCUGGGAAUUGCGAUGGAGACUGCAAAGGCUAGAAUCUGGCAAAAGGGGGGUAGAAUUCCACGUGUAGCAGGUGAAUGCGUAGAAGAAUGUGGAGGA
Molecule: ribosomal RNA, 670 nt
Filed under: uncultured bacterium
Lineage: Bacteria
Description: bacterial SSU rRNA
Rfam family: Bacterial small subunit ribosomal RNA
Source: RNAcentral